RNAcentral lists this ribosomal RNA (400 nucleotides) under uncultured bacterium. Its description in RNAcentral is "bacterial SSU rRNA". It matches the Rfam family "Bacterial small subunit ribosomal RNA", at positions 975 to 1375 of the family's 1533-position model. The record is from RNAcentral.
CUGGGCUUGACAUGCACGGGAAUGUCGUAGAAAUACGGCAGCCCUUCGGGGCUCGUGCACAGGUGGUGCAUGGCUGUCGUCAGCUCGUGUCGUGAGAUGUUGGGUUAAGUCCCGCAACGAGCGCAACCCUUAUCGAUAGUUGCUACCAGGUUAUGCUGGGCACUCUAUUGAAACUGCCGGUGACAAGCCGGAGGAAGGCGGGGAUGACGUCAAGUCCUCAUGGCCCUUACGGCCUGGGCUACACACGUGCUACAAUGGACGGUACAAAGCGCAGCGAACCCGCGAGGGGGAGCCAAUCGCAAAAAACCGAUCGUAGUCCGGAUCGCAGUCUGCAACUCGACUGCGUGAAGUCGGAAUCGCUAGUAAUCGCGAAUCAGAAUGUCGCGGUGAAUACGUUCCC